RNAcentral lists this ribosomal RNA (497 nucleotides) under uncultured bacterium. RNAcentral describes it as "partial 16S ribosomal RNA". It matches the Rfam family "Bacterial small subunit ribosomal RNA", at positions 28 to 507 of the family's 1533-position model. The record is from RNAcentral.
GAUGAACGCUGGCGGCGUGCCUAAUACAUGCAAGUCGAGCGAACAGAUAAGGAGCUAGCUCCUUUGACGUUAGCGGCGGACGGGUGAGUAACACGUGGGUAACCUACCUAUAAGACUGGAAUAACUCCGGGAAACCGGGGCUAAUGCCGGAUAACAUUUAGAACCGCAUGGUUCUAAAGUGAAAGAUGGUUUUGCUAUCACUUAUAGAUGGACCCGCGCCGUAUUAGCUAGUUGGUAAGGUAACGGCUUACCAAGGCAACGAUACGUAGCCGACCUGAGAGGGUGAUCGGCCACACUGGAACUGAGACACGGUCCAGACUCCUACGGGAGGCAGCAGUAGGGAAUCUUCCGCAAUGGGCGAAAGCCUGACGGAGCAACGCCGCGUGAGUGAUGAAGGUCUUCGGAUCGUAAAACUCUGUUAUUAGGGAAGAACAAAUGUGUAAGUAACUGUGCACGUCUUGACGGUACCUAAUCAGAAAGCCACGGCUAACUACGUG